GCCCGGCUGGCUCAGUUGGUAGAGCAUGUGACUCUUGAUCUCAGGGUUGUGAGUUCAAGCCCUAGGUUGGACA
This 73-nucleotide transfer RNA is filed under the name Ailuropoda melanoleuca (giant panda). It matches the Rfam family "tRNA". From Rfam's summary of the family: Transfer RNA (tRNA) molecules are approximately 80 nucleotides in length. The record is from Rfam by way of RNAcentral. Lineage: Eukaryota; Metazoa; Chordata; Mammalia; Carnivora; Ursidae.